RNAcentral lists this ribosomal RNA (439 nucleotides) under uncultured bacterium. RNAcentral's name for it is "partial 16S ribosomal RNA". It matches the Rfam family "Bacterial small subunit ribosomal RNA", at positions 339 to 795 of the family's 1533-position model. The record is from RNAcentral.
CUACGGGAGGCAGCAGUGAGGAAUAUUGCACAAUGGGGGGAACCCUGAUGCAGCAACGCCGCGUGGAGGAUGACGCAUUUCGGUGUGUAAACUCCUUUUAUAUGUCAAGAAAAUGACGGUAGCAUAUGAAUAAGCACCGGCUAACUCCGUGCCAGCAGCCGCGGUAAUACGGCGGGUGCAAGCGUUACUCGGAAUCACUGGGCGUAAAGGACGCGUAGGCGGGUUGGAAAGUCAGGUGUGAAAUCCUACAGCUUAACUGUAGAACUGCACUUGAAACUUCUAAUCUAGAGUAUGGGAGGGGGAGAUGGAAUUAGUGGUGUAGGGGUAAAAUCCGUAGAUAUCACUAGGAAUAUCUAAAGCGAAGGCGAUCUCCUGGAACAUUACUGACGCUAAGGCGUGAAAGCGUGGGGAGCAAACAGGAUUAGAUACCCGGGUAGUC